Molecule: ribosomal RNA, 369 nt
Filed under: uncultured organism
Description: bacterial SSU rRNA
Rfam family: Bacterial small subunit ribosomal RNA
Source: RNAcentral
CGGAGGGUGCAAGCGUUAUCCGGAUUCACUGGGUUUAAAGGGAGCGCAGGCGGACUGGUAAGUCAGUGGUGAAAUACCUGAGCUUAACUCGGGAACUGCCAUUGAUACUAUCAGUCUUGAAUGUUGUUGAGGUUUGCGGAAUGGGUCAUGUAGCGGUGAAAUGCAUAGAUAUGACCCGGAACACCUAUUGCGAAGGCAGCAGGCUAAACAAAUAUUGACGCUGAGGCUCGAAAGACGUGGGGAUCAAACAGGAUUAGAUACCCUGGUAGUCCACGCCCUAAACGAUGAUUACUCGACAUACGCGAUACACUGUGUGUGUCUGAGCGAAAAGCAUUAAGAAGUCCACCUGGGAAGUACGACGCAAGGUUG